UGAUGUUGUCAGCUGCCCUGACAGUCCGCUGUAGACUUUUCCGGUCAGCAGCGCUGGCACUACUGAUCAGAUGGAGAUGCAGCUCGUCAGGACGCACUCUAUGGUGCCCCUGUAGAACACUGUGAGGAUGGAAGGCACAAGGCUGGCCUGUUUCAGUCGUCUCGGGAAGUGAAGACGCUGCUGAGCCUUUUUGGUGAUGGAGACAGUGUUGGUGGUCCAGGACAGUGGUAUCCUCUAGAGGACAAACCUGUGGUGCCACAGUUGAGUCAAGGACAGCCCAAUGUUGGUAUCUUGGUUCAGGAAAUAAAGGAAUUACUUCAGGAUCAUAUAAAACAGCAGCAGCUGGCAAGGGGAGAGUUACAAGAGGAGAAUGAAGAGCUCUGAAAAUAUGACAAAGUGUGCUUUACCACCUGCUGCCAUUCCAUGCUACUUAGUGGGCCCUUCUGCUUCCAGUGUCUAGGGAUUAUUGACCUAGCCGCAUCCAGCAAGUGUAAGGUAUAAACCCAGCCUGGUCAUCAUGUAUUAAAUCCAAUUACUGCCAAGAGCUAUCAACUGACCUCUGAGCACACAUUUUUUGGUUUCCCACAGUGUCGCCACACUAACCUCUGGUCCUGAAUUCUCUUUUAAUAUUUGUUGUAACAUAUCCCUUAUUUUAUUCUUGGUGUCUUUUUUAUGUAACAUUAAAUCGUUAAACCUC
Molecule: long non-coding RNA, 697 nt
Organism: Xenopus laevis (African clawed frog)
Lineage: Eukaryota; Metazoa; Chordata; Amphibia; Anura; Pipidae
Exons: 5
Source: RefSeq, a predicted model, not a curated record